Molecule: long non-coding RNA, 596 nt
Organism: Neofelis nebulosa (Clouded leopard)
Lineage: Eukaryota; Metazoa; Chordata; Mammalia; Carnivora; Felidae
Exons: 2
Source: RefSeq, a predicted model, not a curated record
GCCUAAAUUAAAUCUGAGGCCAGUUAAGUAUGCAUUGUAUUUUUGUAACAGAAUUUCCCCCAUUUCACUGGCAAAUAUUUUUGUAUAUCCCAAAGAGUUAACAUAGCCACAAAGCUAUUAUCACAUUGUCUCUUCAAAAAGUCAUGUCAUGGGGGGAAAAAUGUGUAGGAGGGCUUUUCAGAUUAACGAGACUAAAGAGCUGAACCAACUAAAUGCAAUGCUUAAAGCUUCAUUUGAUCCAGUGGAACUAGAAUGUAUUAUGCUAAGCAAAAUAAGUCAGAGAAAGACAAAUAUCAUAUGAUUUCAAUCAUAUGUGGAAUUUAAGAAAAAAAAACAGAUGAACAAGGGGAAGAGAAGGAAAAAUAAGACAAAAACAGAGAGGGAAGCAAACCAUAAAACUCUUAAUACAGAGAACCAACUGAGGGUUGCUAGAGGGGAGGUAGGUGGAGCGAUUAAAUAGGUGAUGGGCAUUAAGGAAGACACUUGUGAUGAGCACUGGUUGUUCUAUGUAAGUGAUGAAUCACUAAUUCUACUCCUGAAGCCAUUAUUAUACUAUAUGUUAACUAACUGGGAUUUAAAUUAAAAAAAAAUUUUUU